AAACUGAAGAGUUUGAUCCUGGCUCAGAUUGAACGCUGGCGGCAUGCCUAACACAUGCAAGUCGAACGGUAACAGGCCUUCGGGCGCUGACGAGUGGCGGACGGGUGAGUAAUACGUAGGAAUCUGCCUU
Molecule: ribosomal RNA, 130 nt
Filed under: Gammaproteobacteria bacterium
Lineage: Bacteria; Pseudomonadati; Pseudomonadota; Gammaproteobacteria
Description: partial 16S ribosomal RNA
Rfam family: Bacterial small subunit ribosomal RNA
Source: RNAcentral